GAUCCUGGCUCAGGACGAACGCUGGCGGCGUGCCUAAUACAUGCAAGUCGAGCGGACCUCUUCGGAGGUCAGCGGCGGACGGGUGAGGAACACGUGGGUAAUCUGCCUUUCAGACCGGAAUAACGCCCGGAAACGGGCGCUAAUGCCGGAUACGCCCGCGAGGAGGCAUCUUCUUGCGGGGAAAGGCCCGAUUGGGCCGCUGAGAGAGGAGCCCGCGGCGCAUUAGCUGGUUGGCGGGGUAACGGCCCACCAAGGCGACG
RNAcentral lists this ribosomal RNA (260 nucleotides) under uncultured bacterium. RNAcentral describes it as "partial 16S ribosomal RNA". It matches the Rfam family "Bacterial small subunit ribosomal RNA", at positions 15 to 278 of the family's 1533-position model. The record is from RNAcentral.